Myotis lucifugus (little brown bat) is the source of this 130-nucleotide small nucleolar RNA. Ensembl annotates it as small nucleolar RNA SNORA11. The record is from Ensembl. Lineage: Eukaryota; Metazoa; Chordata; Mammalia; Chiroptera; Vespertilionidae.
UGGGUGUGAAGAGAGCAGAGCGCCUGAAGAGUGGCUCCUCUGUGUUAUAACACAUCCAAAAGCAACUUGGGCUUACUCUUUACAGGUGGCAGGGUACUAUGGCCUUCCUGUAACAUUACACCCCAUACAU